GAUGAACGCUGGCGGCGUGCCUAAUACAUGCGAGUCGAGCGAACAGACGAGGAGCUUGCUCCUCUGACGUUAGCGACGGACGGGUGAGUAACACGUGGAUAACCUACCUAUAAGACUGGGAUCACUUCGGGAAACCGGAGCUAAUACCGGAUAAUAUAUUGAACCGCAUGGUUCAAUAGUGAAAGCCGGUUUUGCUGACACUUAUAGAUGGAUCCGCGCCGCAUUAGCUAGUUGGUAAGGUAACGGCUUACCAAGGCAACGAUGCGUAGCCGACCUGAGAGGGUGAUCGGCCACACUGGAACUGAGACACGGUCCAGACUCCUACGGGAGGCAGCAGUAGGGAAUCUUCCGCAAUGGGCGAAAGCUUGACGGAGCAACGCCGCGUGAGUGAUGAAGGUCUUCGGAUCGUAAAACUCUGUUAUUAGGGAAGAACAAAUGUGUAAGUAACUCUGCACGUCUUGACGGUACCUAAUCAGAAAGCCACGGCUAACUACGUG
RNAcentral lists this ribosomal RNA (497 nucleotides) under uncultured bacterium. RNAcentral describes it as "partial 16S ribosomal RNA". It matches the Rfam family "Bacterial small subunit ribosomal RNA", at positions 28 to 507 of the family's 1533-position model. The record is from RNAcentral.